Long non-coding RNA from Capra hircus (goat), 356 nucleotides. RefSeq lists it as uncharacterized. The transcript is spliced from 3 exons. Lineage: Eukaryota; Metazoa; Chordata; Mammalia; Artiodactyla; Bovidae. The record is from RefSeq and is a predicted model, not a curated record.
CCAGGCGUUUUAUCCACACUGGGCACCCUCUCCCACUGCAGAGACCGGAGGCACCCCGCUCCCUGCUCAUCCACCACAGCCCCCUCCCUCUUCCCCUUUCCAGAAAUGUUUGGAAUACAGCUGAGGGUCGCAAAGCUGGAAUGUUUCUUUCUCAGUACACAGCACAGUGGGGACAAGAAAAGAAUGUCAGUGUUCUCGAGGGACCCAGCUGGAUAAUGCAGAGCAGACACCUGGAACGUCUACAACUGCCUCCUCAAAGUAGCCCUCACCCCGCUGGGGCACUUCCACCCUGCUCUUUGGAAGCACACACCCACCAGCUCUAUUCCUUAAAAAAAAUUUUUUUUUUAAUUGGAGGA